UCGGCGUUGUCUCGGGCUAUGAUUGUCCAAACGCAAUUCUUGUCUGUGCCUUGAGAUACCAAGAAUUGUGUGGGGACAUCAGCGCUCGGAGCGCGGAUCAAC
Nasonia vitripennis (jewel wasp) is the source of this 102-nucleotide non-coding RNA. RefSeq annotates it as microRNA mir-219. The transcript has a single exon. The record is from RefSeq and is marked provisional. Lineage: Eukaryota; Metazoa; Arthropoda; Insecta; Hymenoptera; Pteromalidae.